RNAcentral lists this ribosomal RNA (565 nucleotides) under Noblella sp. R RVM-2024. Its description in RNAcentral is "partial 16S ribosomal RNA". It matches the Rfam family "Bacterial large subunit ribosomal RNA", at positions 1810 to 2605 of the family's 2925-position model. The record is from RNAcentral. Lineage: Eukaryota; Metazoa; Chordata; Amphibia; Anura; Craugastoridae.
AAAACAUCGCCUUUUGCUUAACAUAAAAGGUCCAGCCUGCCCAGUGACUUGUUCAACGGCCGCGGUAUCCUAACCGUGCGAAGGUAGCGUAAUCACUUGUUUUCUAAAUCAAGACUUGUAUGAAAGGCACCACGAGGGUCCAACUGUCUCCUUUUUUUCAUCAGUGAAACUAAUCUCCCCGUGAAGAAGCAGGGAUAUUUAUAUAAGACGAGAAGACCCUAUGGAGCUUUAAACUGCAGAUCACCUGCACUAUUGAAUUUUACCUCAAUAAGCAUUAAUUGGUCCCUAAGUUUUAGGUUGGGGUGACCCAGGAGAAAAAAUCAUCCUCCUGGCGGAUACGAUUUACUCUAAGCAAAAAGUUACAUCUUUAAGCAUCAAUACAUUGACUCUCAUUGACCCAAUUUUCUGAUCAACGAACCAAGUUACCCUAGGGAUAACAGCGCAAUCUAUUUUAAGAGCCCCUAUCGACAAGUAGGUUUACGACCUCGAUGUUGGAUCAAGGUAUCCCAGUGGCGCAGCCGCUACUAACGGUUCGUUUGUUCAACGAUUAAAACCCUACGUGAUC